Molecule: ribosomal RNA, 905 nt
Filed under: uncultured Bacillota bacterium
Lineage: Bacteria; Bacillati; Bacillota
Description: bacterial SSU rRNA
Rfam family: Bacterial small subunit ribosomal RNA
Source: RNAcentral
UGGAUCCAGCUUUGAUCCUGGCUCAGGAUGAACGCUGGCGGCGUGCCUAACACAUGCAAGUCGAACGGAGAUAAGAUGAAACCUAGUGAUUCUUAUCUUAGUGGCGGACGGGUGAGUAACACGUGGGUAACCUGCCUUGCACUGGGGGAUAACACUUAGAAAUAGGUGCUAAAACCGCAUAAGCGCACAGUUUCGCAUGAGACAGUGUGAAAAACUCCGGUGGUGUAAGAUGGACCCGCGUCUGAUUAGCUAGUUGGUGAGGUAAUGGCCCACCAAGGCGACGAUCAGUAGCCGGCCUGAGAGGGUGACCGGCCACAUUGGGACAGAGACACGGCCCAAACUCCUACGGGAGGCAGCAAUGGGGAAUAUUGCACAAUGGGGGAAACCCUGAUGCAGCAACGCCGCGUGAGUGAAGAAGUCAUUCGUGAUGUAAAGCUCUAUCAGCAGGGAAGAAAAUGACGGUACCUGAGUAAGAAGCCCCGGCUAACUACGUGCCAGCAGCCGCGGUAAUACGUAGGGGGCAAGCGUUAUCCGGAUUUACUGGGUGUAAAGGGAGCGUAGACGGCCAUGCAAGUCUGAAGUGAAAUGCCAGUGCUCAACACUGGAACUGCUUUGGAAACUGUAAGGCUAGAGUGCGGGAGAGGUAAGUGGAAUUCCUAGUGUAGCGGUGAAAUGCGUAGAUAUUAGGAGGAACACCAGUGGCGAAGGCGGCUUACUGGACCGUAACUGACGUUGAGGCUCGAAAGCGUGGGGAGCAAACAGGAUUAGAUACCCUGGUAGUCCACGCGGUAAACGAUGAUUACUAGGUGUUGGGGGGUAAUAACCCUUCGGUGCCGUCGCAAACGCAAUAAGUAAUCCACCUGGGGAGUACGUUCGCAAGAAUGCAACUCAAAGGAAUUGACGGA